GACGAACGCUGGCGGCGUGCUUAACACAUGCAAGUCGAACGAUGAACCGGAGCUUGCUCUGGGGAUUAGUGGCGAACGGGUGAGUAACACGUGGGCAACCUGCCCCAGACACCGGGAUAACCAUUGGAAACGAUGGCUAAUACCGGAUACGACCACUUCGGGCAUCCGAUGGUGGUGGAAAGGAUUCUGGUCUGGGAUGGGCCCGCGGCCUAUCAGCUUGUUGGUGGGGUAAUGGCCUACCAAGGCGACGACGGGUAGCCGGCCUGAGAGGGCGACCGGCCACACUGGGACUGAGACACGGCCCAGACUCCUACGGAGGCAGCAGUGGGGAAUAUUGCGCAAUGGCGAAAGCCUGACGCAGCGACGCCGCGUGAGGGACGAAGGUCUUCGGAUUGUAAACCUCUUUCUAGCAGGGAUGAAGCGAAAGUGACAGUACCUGCAGAAGAAGACACCGGCUAACUACGUGCCAGCAGCCGCGGUAAU
This 483-nucleotide ribosomal RNA is filed under the name uncultured bacterium. RNAcentral's name for it is "bacterial SSU rRNA". It matches the Rfam family "Bacterial small subunit ribosomal RNA", at positions 28 to 524 of the family's 1533-position model. The record is from RNAcentral.